Molecule: non-coding RNA, 387 nt
Organism: Pelobates cultripes (western spadefoot toad)
Lineage: Eukaryota; Metazoa; Chordata; Amphibia; Anura; Pelobatidae
Source: the annotation of a GenBank genome assembly
CAAUUAGGAUUUAAAUUGGGUUUCUGGGUAUCAGGUUUUUAUUAUUCCCUUACAUAAGAACUGGUUUCUCCACAAAUAAUUGGCAUUUUACAUCUCUGCCCUUCCUUACUCUUCGCAUAUUCCUACCACCUCCAUCUAAAAGAAUUUCUGAAAUACGUGAAUUUUUCACUCAAACUACCACAAAAUUCUUACAUCUUUCAUAAAUUCUGUUUGACAGCUGCAGCUCUGUAUAUUUCUUAUCUUCCUUUCUAGCAACAUUUUGAUCUAACUCAAAAGUAUACAAAACGCUGAUGUCCUUCUUAUCUUCAAAACACAUUACUCCUCAUCUGCAGAUUCUUUCGUCAUAACCCACCACUUGGUCCCCUUUAAGAGGAAAAUGUAAACGCC